AGCUCCAAUAGCGUAUAUUAAAGUUGUUGCAGUUAAAAAGCUCGUAGUUGGAUUUGUGGUGUGUCCUGUCGGUCCGUGGGCUCAGCCUGCGUGUCUGUACGGGUCUGCCUUUCAUGGGACUGUUGGCUUUGUGGCAUUAGGUUGUCGCAUUGUUGAUGCCCAUCUUUUACUGUGAAAAAAUUAGAGUGUUCAAAGCAGGCUUAUGCUGUUGAAUAUAUUAGCAUGGAAUAAUGAUAUAGGACCUUGGUACUAUUUUGUUGGUUUGCGCACUGAGGUAAUGAUUAAUAGGGACAGUUGGGGGUAUUCGUAUUCCAUUGUCAGAGGUGAAAUUCUUGGAUUUUUGGAAGACGAACUACUGCGAAAGCAUUUACCAAGGAUGUUUUCAUUAAUCAAGAACGAA
This 400-nucleotide ribosomal RNA is filed under the name phytoplankton environmental sample. RNAcentral describes it as "partial small subunit ribosomal RNA". It matches the Rfam family "Eukaryotic small subunit ribosomal RNA", at positions 587 to 987 of the family's 1831-position model. The record is from RNAcentral.